Rhinolophus ferrumequinum (greater horseshoe bat) is the source of this 64-nucleotide small nucleolar RNA. The record is from Ensembl. NCBI's taxonomy places the organism in Eukaryota, Metazoa, Chordata, Mammalia, Chiroptera, Rhinolophidae.
CCUGUAUGAUGAUAAGCAAAAACUGACUGAACAUGAAGGUCUUAAUUAUUAGCUCUACCUGAUU